This 2296-nucleotide ribosomal RNA is filed under the name Daphnia tibetana. RNAcentral's name for it is "SSU rRNA". It matches the Rfam family "Eukaryotic small subunit ribosomal RNA". Lineage: Eukaryota; Metazoa; Arthropoda; Branchiopoda; Diplostraca; Daphniidae. The record is from RNAcentral.
UCUAAGUACAAGCCGCUAGACGGCGAAACCGCGAAUGGCUCAAUAAAUCAGUUAUGGUUCCUUAGAUCCACUCCAUCCUACUUGGAUAACUGUGGUAAUUCUAGAGCUAAUACAUGCACUCGAGCCUCGACUGCGCCACGCUUCGCGGCGUGGUGCAGAAGAGGUGCUUUUAUUAGAUCAAAACCAGUCGGGACGCGCGGCUCGGGCAACCGUUUCGCGCGGACCGUACCAAUUUUGGUGACUCUGGAUAACUUCACGCCGAUCGCAUGGCCUUUGUGCCGGCGACGUAUCUUUCAAAUGUCUGCCUUAUCAACUGUCGAUGGUAGGUUACGCGCCUACCAUGGUUGCAACGGGUAACGGGGAAUCGGGGUUCGAUUCCGGAGAGGGAGCCUGAGAAACGGCUACCACAUCCAAGGAAGGCAGCAGGCGCGCAAAUUACCCACUCCCGGCACGGGGAGGUAGUGACGAAAAAUAACGAUACGGGACUCUUCCGAGGCCCCGUGAUUGGAAUGAGUACACUUUAAAUCCUUUAACGAGGAACCAUUGGAGGGCAAGUCUGGUGCCAGCAGCCGCGGUAACUCCAGCUCCAAUAGCGUAUAUUAAAGUUGUUGCGGUUAAAAAGCUCGUAGUCGGAUGUCUGUCUUCGGCCGGGCGGCGCCGCUCUGAAUCAAGGGUGUUGCGUUUCACGCUCUGGGAGCCCGGGUGUCAAAGCCCGACUCUCUUUACGGUCGGACAACAUCGCCAGAGUGGUGGUCGGUGGGUCGCGUUGUAUCGGCUCGCGGAUUUCCGUUUCGUCCGUCUCUCCCUUUUUUUUUUCCCUUUCGAUCGUCCCGUGUUUCACUUUCGCGGUGAGGCUCGGGUGAUGUGGCAGGGAGAAGGGGGGAGAAUCAGGCGGACGGAGCGGUCCGUGAUCAGUUGACGCGAUUCGCUCCACCCAGUCAAUCGUUCGGGGUGCCCUUUACCGGGUGUCUCGGGCGGCCGGCAACGUUUACUUUGAACAAAUUAGAGUGCUCAAAGCAGGUGUAUCCCAACGCCUGAAUAUCGCAGCAUGGAAUGAUGGAAUAGGACCUCGGUCCGAUUUUGCUGGUCUUUUACUUUUGGACCCGAGGUAAUGGUCAAUAGAGACGGACGGGGGCAUUCGUACUGCGGCGACAGAGGUGAAAUUCUUGGACCGCCGCAAGACGAACAACAGCGAAGGCAUUUGCCAAGAAUGUUUUCCUUGAUCAAGAACGAAAGUUAGAGGUUCGAAGGCGAUCAGAUACCGCCCUAGUUCUAACCAUAAACGAUGCCAACCAGCAAUCCGUCGGAGUUACUCCAAUGACUCGACGGGCAGCUUCCGGGAAACCAAAGUCUUUGGGUUCCGGGGGAAGUAUGGUUGCAAAGCUGAAACUUAAAGGAAUUGACGGAAGGGCACCACCAGGAGUGGAGCCUGCGGCUUAAUUUGACUCAACACGGGAAACCUCACCAGGCCCGGACACUGGAAGGAUUGACAGAUUGAGAGCUCUUUCUUGAUUCGGUGGGUGGUGGUGCAUGGCCGUUCUUAGUUGGUGGAGCGAUUUGUCUGGUUAAUUCCGAUAACGAACGAGACUCUAGCCUGCUAAAUAGGUGACGGGUUUUAUCAAUUGAAACCGAAGGGGGUACGGAGGCGUCGGGAUCAGGUGGCGGCGAUUCGGGUCGAAGAGGCCGGGUUCUUUUAGCUGGCUUUUUUUUCCCCUCUUUGCUUUUUAUUCGUCGCGUGUCGGUGGCCCUUUUUUCUUCGUUUUUUCUUCGGUUCGCGCUGGAGGAGGGAUGAGAAGGAGGUCUGCUGGUGUGCGGCGAGAGAUGUGGAGAGAAGGAAGAAAGGUUUGGCGGGGGCUCGGUCUUUUGUUUCUCGGUCGUCGUCAUCCCCGGCGAUACCUUCUGCUCUCGCGUCCGUCACGCAGUCUUCUUAGAGGGACAAGCGGCGUCCAGCCGCGUGACAAUGAGCAAUAACAGGUCUGUGAUGCCCUUAGAUGUCCUGGGCCGCACGCGCGCUACACUGAAGGAAUCAGCGUGUUUCACUCUCCCUGUCCGAAAGGACCGGGUAACCGCUGAACCUCCUUCGUGGUUGGGAUUGGGGACUGCAAUGAUCCCCAUGAACCAGGAAUCCCUAGUAGGCGCGGGUCACUAGCCCGCGUCGAUUACGUCCCUGCCCUUUGUACACACCGCCCGUCGCUACUACCGAUUGAAUGAUUUAGUGAGGCCUUCGGACGGGCUUGUCGGGGUUCCAUCGCGUGGGGAGCAAUCUCUGCGCGAUCGGUUCCUACCAACGGCGAGA